UACGUAGGGGGCAAGCGUUAUCCGGAUUUACUGGGUGUAAAGGGAGCGUAGACGGACUUGCAAGUCUGAUGUGAAAAUCCGGGGCCCAACCCCGGAACUGCAUUGGAAACUGUAUAUCUAGAGUGUCGGAGAGGCAAGUGGAAUUCCUGGUGUAGCGGUGAAAUGCGUAGAUAUCAGGAGGAACACCAGUGGCGAAGGCGGCUUGCUGGACGAUGACUGACGUUGAGGCUCGAAAGCGUGGGUAUCGAACAGG
RNAcentral lists this ribosomal RNA (253 nucleotides) under uncultured bacterium. RNAcentral's name for it is "partial 16S ribosomal RNA". It matches the Rfam family "Bacterial small subunit ribosomal RNA", at positions 524 to 776 of the family's 1533-position model. The record is from RNAcentral.